This 468-nucleotide ribosomal RNA is filed under the name uncultured bacterium. Its description in RNAcentral is "partial 16S ribosomal RNA". It matches the Rfam family "Bacterial small subunit ribosomal RNA", at positions 28 to 507 of the family's 1533-position model. The record is from RNAcentral.
GACGAACGCUGGCGGCGUGCUUAACACAUGCCAGUCGAACGGAAAGGCCCUGCUUUUGUGGGGUGCUCGAGUGGCGAACGGGUGAGUAACACGUGAGUAACCUGCCCUUGACUUUGGGAUAACUUCAGGAAACUGGGGCUAAUACCGGGUAGGAGCUCCUGCUGCAUGGUGGGGGUUGGAAAGUUUCGGCGGUUGGGGAUGGACUCGCGGCUUAUCAGCUUGUUGGUGGGGUAGUGGCUUACCAAGGCUUUGACGGGUAGCCGGCCUGAGAGGGUGACCGGCCACAUUGGGACUGAGAUACGGCCCAGACUCCUACGGGAGGCAGCAGUGGGGAAUAUUGCACAAUGGGCGGAAGCCUGAUGCAGCAACGCCGCGUGCGGGAUGACGGCCUUCGGGUUGUAAACCGCUUUCGCCUGUGACGAAGCGUGAGUGACGGUAAUGGGUAAAGAAGCACCGGCUAACUACGUG